RNAcentral lists this ribosomal RNA (356 nucleotides) under Novafabricia labrus. Its description in RNAcentral is "eukaryotic LSU rRNA". It matches the Rfam family "Eukaryotic large subunit ribosomal RNA", at positions 42 to 366 of the family's 3401-position model. Lineage: Eukaryota; Metazoa; Annelida; Polychaeta; Sabellida; Fabriciidae. The record is from RNAcentral.
AUCUAUAAGCGGAGGAAGAGAAACUAACGAGGAUUCCCGUAGUAACGGCGAGUGAACGUGGACCCUGUGCCCAUCACCGAAUCGGCGGCGGUGUACCCGUCGUUUCCGAGCUGUGGUGUUUGAGACCCUUUUUCGGUUAGCCUCCUCAGGCCCCCUUGUCCAAAUCGUCAGUGAGCCGCGUACCGUAGCGGGUGCUAGUCCCGUAGCGACGGGCGGGCGUCCUGUAGGGAGGUGAAUCGUGGGGUUCUCUCGAGUCGAGAUGCUUGAGAGUGCAUCUCUAAGCCGGUGGUAGGCUCCAUCUAAGGCUGAAUAGCGGCACGAGUCCGAUAGCGAACAAGUACCGUGAGGGAAAGUUA